RNAcentral lists this ribosomal RNA (253 nucleotides) under uncultured bacterium. RNAcentral's name for it is "partial 16S ribosomal RNA". It matches the Rfam family "Bacterial small subunit ribosomal RNA", at positions 524 to 776 of the family's 1533-position model. The record is from RNAcentral.
UACAUGGGGUGCAAACGUUGCUCGGAAUUAUUGGGCGUAAAGCGCACGUAGGCGGUCCACUAAGUCGGAUGUGAAAGCCCUCGGCUUAACCGAGGAAGUGCAUCCGAAACUGGCGGGCUUGAGUACGAAAGAGGGUCGCGGAAUUCCCGGUGUAGAGGUGAAAUUCGUAGAUAUCGGGAGGAACACCGGUGGCGAAGGCGGCGACCUGGGUCGAUACUGACGCUGAGGCGCGAAAGCUAGGGGAGCAAACAGG